UACAGAGGUCUCAAGCGUUGUUCGGAUUCAUUGGGCGUAAAGGGUGCGUAGGCGGCGCGGUAAGUCGGGGGUGAAAUCCUGGGGCUCAACCUCAGAAUUGCCUCCGAUACUGGCAGUCUCGAGUGCGGGAGAGGUGAGUGGAAUUCCCAGUGUAGAGGUGAAAUUCGUAGAUAUUGGGAAGAACACCAGUGGCGAAGGCGGCUCACUGGCCCGUAACUGACGCUGAGGUGCGAAAGCGUGGGGAGCAAACAGG
This 253-nucleotide ribosomal RNA is filed under the name uncultured bacterium. RNAcentral's name for it is "partial 16S ribosomal RNA". It matches the Rfam family "Bacterial small subunit ribosomal RNA", at positions 524 to 776 of the family's 1533-position model. The record is from RNAcentral.